Molecule: non-coding RNA, 25 nt
Filed under: Drosophila melanogaster (fruit fly)
Lineage: Eukaryota; Metazoa; Arthropoda; Insecta; Diptera; Drosophilidae
Source: RNAcentral
UGCCCUUUCCUGGCUAGGUUGUCCG